RNAcentral lists this ribosomal RNA (206 nucleotides) under uncultured bacterium. RNAcentral's name for it is "partial 16S ribosomal RNA". It matches the Rfam family "Bacterial small subunit ribosomal RNA", at positions 568 to 774 of the family's 1533-position model. The record is from RNAcentral.
CGCGUAGGCGGCUUAUCAAGUCAGGGGUGAAAUUUUGCGGCUUAACCGUAACAGUGCCUUUGAUACUGAUAGGCUCGAGGGAGAUAGGGGUCUGCGGAACUUCUGGUGGAGCGGUGAAAUGCGUUGAUAUCAGAAGGAACGCCGGUGGCGAAAGCGGCGGACUGGAUCUCUUCUGACGCUGAGGCGCGAAAGCUAGGGAGCAAACG